Molecule: ribosomal RNA, 462 nt
Filed under: uncultured bacterium
Lineage: Bacteria
Description: bacterial SSU rRNA
Rfam family: Bacterial small subunit ribosomal RNA
Source: RNAcentral
ACUCCUACGGGAGGCAGCAGUGGGGAAUAUUGCACAAUGGGCGCAAGCCUGAUGCAGCCAUGCCGCGUGUGUGAAGAAGGCCUUCGGGUUGUAAAGCACUUUCAGUCGUGAGGAAGGUAGUGUAGUUAAUAGCUGCAUUAUUUGACGUUAGCGACAGAAGAAGCACCGGCUAACUCCGUGCCAGCAGCCGCGGUAAUACGGAGGGUGCGAGCGUUAAUCGGAAUUACUGGGCGUAAAGCGCAUGCAGGUGGUUUGUUAAGUCAGAUGUGAAAGCCCGGGGCUCAACCUCGGAAUAGCAUUUGAAACUGGCAGACUAGAGUACUGUAGAGGGGGUAGAAUUUCAGGUGUAGCGGUGAAAUGCGUAGAGAUCGUGAAGGAACUACCGGUGGCGAAAGGCGGCCCCCUGGACAGAUACUGACACUCAGAUGCGAAAGCGUGGGAGCAAACAGGAUUAGAUACCCC